RNAcentral lists this long non-coding RNA (281 nucleotides) under Elaeis guineensis (African oil palm). RNAcentral describes it as "long non-coding RNA (EGUI_LNC015291)". The record is from RNAcentral. Lineage: Eukaryota; Viridiplantae; Streptophyta; Magnoliopsida; Arecales; Arecaceae.
GGUUCGAGGGGGUUGUCGAUAUUGGUGCAGAGCAGGGGCGAGUAAGAAGAUAUGAGGCGGUGGCCGGUGGAUAUGGACGUCGUCAAAGCCAUGGCAUCUAAGGUAGUGGAGGACGGUGUCAGAAUUCACUGUGGAUCUGAGGGCGAUAAGAUGUUUGGAGGCUCUGAUGGUAUUGUCUUUGGGGAAGACGCAAGAGGUGGUGAGGUACUCCACCAUGAAAUGGGGCUUGGGAGGUUAGUCCUCCCCCAAGGCAACGGCGGCAGCAGUGAUGGAGAGGCGGC